GUGAGGAAUAUUGGUCAAUGGACGAGAGUCUGAACCAGCCAAGUAGCGUGAAGGAUGACUGCCCUAUGGGUUGUAAACUUCUUUUAUAAGGGAAUAAAGUGAGGGACGUGUCCCUUUUUGUAUGUACCUUAUGAAUAAGGAUCGGCUAACUCCGUGCCAGCAGCCGCGGUAAUACGGAGGAUCCGAGCGUUAUCCGGAUUUAUUGGGUUUAAAGGGAGCGUAGGUUGACAUAUAAGUCAGCUGUGAAAGUUUACGGCUCAACCGUGAAAUUGCAGUUGAUACUGUAUGUCUUGAGUGUACAAGAGGUGGGCGGAAUUCGUGGUGUAGCGGUGAAAUGCUUAGAUAUCACGAAGAACUCCAAUUGCGAAGGCAGCUCACUGGGGUACAACUGACACUGAGGCUCGAAAGUGUGGGUAUCAAACAGGAUUAGAAACCCUGGUAGUCC
Molecule: ribosomal RNA, 445 nt
Filed under: uncultured bacterium
Lineage: Bacteria
Description: partial 16S ribosomal RNA
Rfam family: Bacterial small subunit ribosomal RNA
Source: RNAcentral